This 458-nucleotide ribosomal RNA is filed under the name uncultured bacterium. Its description in RNAcentral is "partial 16S ribosomal RNA". It matches the Rfam family "Bacterial small subunit ribosomal RNA", at positions 338 to 795 of the family's 1533-position model. The record is from RNAcentral.
CCUACGGGUGACUGCAGUGAGGAAUAUUGGUCAAUGGGCGAGAGCCUGAACCAGCCAAGUCGCGUGAGGGAGUACUGCCCUAUGGGUUGUAAACCUCUUUUGUCGGGGAGCAAAAGCCGGACGUGUCCGGCUGUGAGAGUACCCGAAGAAAAAGCAUCGGCUAACUCCGUGCCAGCAGCCGCGGUAAUACGGAGGAUGCGAGCGUUAUCCGGAUUUAUUGGGUUUAAAGGGUGCGCAGGCGGAUUUUUAAGUCAGCGGUAAAAUCGUGGGGCUCAACCCCAUCCAGCCGUUGAAACUGGGGAUCUAGAGUGUGCGAGAGGUAUGCGGAAUGCGUGGUGUAGCGGUGAAAUGCAUAGAUAUCACGCAGAACCCCGAUUGCGAAGGCAGCAUACCGGUGCACAACUGACGCUCAGGCACGAAAGCGUGGGUAUCGAACAGGAUUAGAUACCCCUGUAGUC